CAGAUGUGAAAUCCCCGAGCUUAACUCGGGAAUGGCAUAUGUGACUGCUCGACUAGAGUGUGUCAGAGGGAGGUGGAAUUCCACGUGUAGCAGUGAAAUGCGUAGAUAUGUGGAAGAACACCGAUGGCGAAGGCAGCCUCCUGGGACAUAACUGACGCUCAGGCACGAAAGCGUGGGGAGCAAACAGGAUUAGAUACCCUGGUAGUCCACGCCGUAAACGAUGAUAACUAGUUGUUGGGAAGUAAAAUUCUCAGUAACGCAGCCAACGCGAGAAGUUAACCGCCUGGGAAGUACGGUCGCAAGACUAAAACUCAAAGGAAUUGACGGGGACCCGCACAAGCGGUGGAUGAUGUGGAUUAAUUCGAUGCAACGCGAAAAACCUUACCUACCCUUGACAUGUCAGGAAGCUCUUGUAAUGAGAGCGUGCCCGCAAGGGAGCCUGAACACAGGUGCUGCAUGGUUGUCGUCAGCUCGUGUCGUGAGAUGUUGGGUUAAGUCCCGCAACGAGCGCAACCCUUGUCACUAGUUGCUACGAAAGGGCACUCUAGUGAGACUGCCGGUGACAAACCGGAGGAAGGUGGGGAUGACGUCAAGUCAUCAUGCCCCUUAUGGGUAGGGCUACACACGUCAUACAAUGGUCGGAACAGAGGGCAGCGAAGUCGUGAGACGGAGCCAAUCCCAGAAAACCGAUCGUAGUCCGGAUUGCAGUCUGCAACUCGACUGCAUGAAGUCGGAAUCGCUAGUAAUCGCGGA
RNAcentral lists this ribosomal RNA (753 nucleotides) under human gut metagenome. RNAcentral's name for it is "bacterial SSU rRNA". It matches the Rfam family "Bacterial small subunit ribosomal RNA", at positions 589 to 1348 of the family's 1533-position model. The record is from RNAcentral.